UCGGUGAAGGAUGGGCUCGCGGCCUAUCAGCUUGUUGGUGGGGUAAUGGCCUACCAAGGCGACGACGGGUAGCCGGCCUGAGAGGGCGACCGGCCACACUGGGACUGAGACACGGCCCAG
RNAcentral lists this ribosomal RNA (120 nucleotides) under uncultured bacterium. Its description in RNAcentral is "partial 16S ribosomal RNA". It matches the Rfam family "Bacterial small subunit ribosomal RNA", at positions 215 to 334 of the family's 1533-position model. The record is from RNAcentral.